UAUCUUCGGAUAUGAGUAGAGCGGCGGACGGGUGAGUAACGCGUAGGAAUCUACCUAAUAGAAGGGGAUAGCCCGAGGAAACUCGGAUUAAUACCGUAUACCUCCUUAGGGAGAAAGAGGGCCUCUCUUGAUGCUCUCGCUAUUAGAUGAGCCUGCGUAAGAUUAGCUUGUUGGUGAGGUAAUGGCUCACCAAGGCUACGAUCUUUAGCUGGUCUGAGAGGACGAUCAGCCACAUUGGGACUGAGACACGGCCCAGACUCCUACGGGAGGCAGCAGUGGGGAAUAUUGGACAAUGGGCGCAAGCCUGAUCCAGCCAUACCGCGUGUGUGAAGAAGGCCUUCGGGUUGUAAAGCACUUUAAGCAGGGAGAAAAAGUUAUAAGUUAAUACCUUAUAACCGUGAUGUUACCUGCAGAAUAAGCACCGGCUAAUUCCGUGCCAGCAGCCGCGGUAAUACGGAAGGUGCAAGCGUUAAUCGGAAUUACUGGGCGUAAAGCGCGCGUAGGUGGUUUGUUAAGUUGGAUGUGAAAGCCCUGGGCUCAACCUAGGAACUGCAUCCAAAACUAACUCACUAGAGUACGAUAGAGGGAGGUAGAAUUCAUAGUGUAGCGGUGGAAUGCGUAGAUAUUAUGAAGAAUACCGGUGGCGAAGGCGGCCUCCUGGAUCUGUACUGACACUGAGGUGCGAAAGCGUGGGUAGCGAACAGGAUUAGAUACCCUGGUAGUCCACGCCGUAAACGAUGACAACUAGCUGUUGGGAGACAAUGUCUUUCAGUGGCGCAGCUAACGUUUUAAGUUGUCCGCCUGGGGAGUACGGCCGCAAGGCUAAAACUCAAAUGAAUUGACGGGGACCCGCACAAGCGGUGGAGCAUGUGGUUUAAUUCGAUGCAACGCGAAAAACCUUACCUACUCUUGACAUACUUGGAAGCUCUUGUAA
This 934-nucleotide ribosomal RNA is filed under the name uncultured marine bacterium. RNAcentral's name for it is "bacterial SSU rRNA". It matches the Rfam family "Bacterial small subunit ribosomal RNA", at positions 75 to 1005 of the family's 1533-position model. The record is from RNAcentral.